GACUCAUCAUUGGUCGAGCAGACUCGAAUGUUAUUCGAAUCGACUCGAAUCCUAUCCAAAUCGACUUGAAGCUCAACGAUUAGUUCUGGAGACUUUUCAAAACUAUGUAGAAUUAGUUGUAACAGCUCUAUUUUGGAUUUCAAUAGUCAUAAAUAACUUUUUAAUCUUUUGAAUAGUGUUAAACACUCACCAAACUUAUUGAAUAAGCAAGAGAACAAGAAAGAAACAAGAAAAAGCA
This 238-nucleotide long non-coding RNA is filed under the name Elaeis guineensis (African oil palm). Its description in RNAcentral is "long non-coding RNA (EGUI_LNC007970)". The record is from RNAcentral. Lineage: Eukaryota; Viridiplantae; Streptophyta; Magnoliopsida; Arecales; Arecaceae.